UCCGUAGGUGAACCUGCGG
Molecule: non-coding RNA, 19 nt
Filed under: Dunaliella salina
Lineage: Eukaryota; Viridiplantae; Chlorophyta; Chlorophyceae; Chlamydomonadales; Dunaliellaceae
Also listed under: 92 other names
Source: RNAcentral